RNAcentral lists this ribosomal RNA (374 nucleotides) under uncultured organism. Its description in RNAcentral is "partial 16S ribosomal RNA". It matches the Rfam family "Bacterial small subunit ribosomal RNA", at positions 527 to 896 of the family's 1533-position model. The record is from RNAcentral.
GUAGGUGGCAAGCGUUGUCCGGAAUUAUUGGGCGUAAAGCGCGCGCAGGCGGUCCUUUAAGUCUGAUGUGAAAGCCCACGGCUCAACCGUGGAGGGUCAUUGGAAACUGGGGGACUUGAGUACAGAAGAGGAAAGCGGAAUUCCACGUGUAGCGGUGAAAUGCGUAGAGAUGUGGAGGAACACCAGUGGCGAAGGCGGCUUUCUGGUCUGUAACUGACGCUGAGGCGCGAAAGCGUGGGGAGCAAACAGGGAUUAGAUACCCUGGUAGUCCACGCCGUAAACGAUGAGUGCUAAGUGUUAGGGGGGUUUCCGCCCCCUUAGUGCUGCAGCUAACGCAUUAAGCACUCCGCCUGGGGAGUACGGCCGCAAGGCUG